Molecule: transfer RNA, 75 nt
Filed under: Bacteroidota bacterium
Lineage: Bacteria; Pseudomonadati; Bacteroidota
Also listed under: 1 other name
Description: Bacteroidetes bacterium (freshwater metagenome) tRNA-Met
Rfam family: tRNA
About the family: Transfer RNA (tRNA) molecules are approximately 80 nucleotides in length. Their secondary structure includes four short double-helical elements and three loops (D, anti-codon, and T loops).
Source: RNAcentral
UGCGGGGUAGAGCAGCGGUAGCUCGUUGGGCUCAUAACCCAAAGGUCACAGGUUCGAGUCCUGUCCCCGCUACCA